UGAUUUACAUUUGAGUGAGUGGCGAACUGGUGAGUAACAGUGGGAAGCCUGCCCAGAAGCGGGGGAUAACACCUGGAAACAGAUGCUAAUACCGCAUAACAACUUGGACCGCAUGGUCCGAGCUUGAAAGAUGGCUUCGGCUAUCACUUUUGGAUGGUCCCGCGGCGUAUUAGCUAGAUGGUGGGGUAACGGCUCACCAUGGCAAUGAUACGUAGCCGACCUGAGAGGGUAAUCGGCCACAUUGGGACUGAGACACGGCCCAAACUCCUACGGGAGGCAGCAGUAGGGAGUCUUCCACAAUGGACGAAAGUCUGAUGGAGCAACGCCGCGUGAGUGAAGAAGGGUUUCGGCUUGUAAAACUCUGUUGUUAAAGAAGAACAUAUCUGAGAGUAACUGUUCAGGUAUUGACGGUAUUUAACCAGAAAGCCACGGCUAACUACGUGCCAGCAGCCGCGGUAAUACGUAGGUGGCAAGCGUUGUCCGGAUUUAUUGGGCGUAAAGCGAGCGCAGGCGGUUUUUUAAGUCUGAUGUGAAAGCCUUCGGCUCAACCGAAGAGGUGCAUCGGAAACUGGGAAACUUGAGUGCAGAAGAGGACAGUGGAACUCCAUGUGUAGCGGUGAAAUGCGUAGAUAUAUGGAAGAACACCAGUGGCGAAGGCGGCUGUCUGGUCUGUAACUGACGCUGAGGCUCGAAAAGUAUGGGUAGCAAACAGGAUUAGAUACCCUGGGUAGUCCAUACCGG
This 741-nucleotide ribosomal RNA is filed under the name uncultured bacterium. Its description in RNAcentral is "bacterial SSU rRNA". It matches the Rfam family "Bacterial small subunit ribosomal RNA", at positions 76 to 803 of the family's 1533-position model. The record is from RNAcentral.